CAGGUAACAUUAAAUCGUACCCCAAACCGACACAGGUGGUCAGGUAGAGAAUACCAAGGCGCUUGAGAGAACUCGGGUGAAGGAACUAGGCAAAAUGGUGCCGUAACUUCGGGAGAAGGCACGCUGGCAUGUAGGUGAAGUCCCUCGCGGAUGGAGCUGAAGCCAGUCGAAGAUACCAGCUGGCUGCAACUGUUUAAUAAAAACACAGCACUGUGCAAACACGAAAGUGGACGUAUACGGUGUGACGCCUGCCCGGUGCUGGAAGGUUAAUUGAUGGGGUCAGCCGCAAGGCGAAGCUCUUGAUCGAAGCCCCAGUAAACGGCGGCCGUAACUAUAACGGUCCUAAGGUAGCGAAAUUCCUUGUCGGGUAAGUUCCGACCUGCACGAAUGGCGUAAUGAUGGCCAGGCUGUCUCCACCCGAGACUCAGUGAAAUUGAACUCGCUGUGAAGAUGCAGUGUACCCGCGGCAAGACGGAAAGACCCCGUGAACCUUUACUAUAGCUUGACACUGAACAUUGAGCCUUGAUGUGUAGGAUAGGUGGGAGGCUUUGAAGCGUGGACGCCAGUCUGCGUGGAGCCAUCCUUGAAAUACCACCCUUUAAUGUUUGAUGUUCUAACUCGGCCCCAUAAUCUGGGGUGAGGACAGUGUCUGGUGGGUAGUUUGACUGGGGCGGUCUCCUCCCAAAGAGUAACGGAGGAGCACGAAGGUUAGCUAAUCACGGUCGGACAUCGUGAGGUUAGUGCAAAGGCAUAAGCUAGCUUGACUGCGAGAGUGACGGCUCGAGCAGGUACGAAAGUAGGUCUUAGUGAUCCGGUGGUUCUGAAUGGAAGGGCCAUCGCUCAACGGAUAAAAGGUACUCCGGGGAUAACAGGCUGAUACCGCCCAAGAGUUCAUAUCGACGGCGGUGUUUGGCACCUCGAUGUCGGCUCAUCACAUCCUGGGGCUGAAGUAGGUCCCAAGGGUAUGGCUGUUCGCCAUUUAAAGUGGUACGCGAGCUGGGUUUAGAACGUCGUGAGACAGUUCGGUCCCUAUCUGCCGUGGGCGUUGGAAGAUUGAGAGGGGUUGCUCCUAGUACGAGAGGACCGGAGUGAACGCACCACUGGUGUUCGGGUUGUCAUGCCAAUGGCAUUGCCCGGUAGCUAAGUGCGGAAAAGAUAAGCGCUGAAAGCAUCUAAGCGCGAAACUUGCCUCAAGAUGAGUCUUCCCUGGGCCUUUAAGGCCCCUGAAGGAACGUUUAAGACUAAGACGUUGAUAGGCUGGGUGUGUAAGUGCAGCGAUGCAUUGAGCUAACCAGUACUAAUGAUCCGUGAGGCUUAACCUU
Molecule: ribosomal RNA, 1322 nt
Filed under: Serratia marcescens
Lineage: Bacteria; Pseudomonadati; Pseudomonadota; Gammaproteobacteria; Enterobacterales; Yersiniaceae
Also listed under: 2 other names
Description: partial 23S ribosomal RNA
Rfam family: Bacterial large subunit ribosomal RNA
Source: RNAcentral